RNAcentral lists this ribosomal RNA (519 nucleotides) under uncultured bacterium. Its description in RNAcentral is "bacterial SSU rRNA". It matches the Rfam family "Bacterial small subunit ribosomal RNA", at positions 28 to 526 of the family's 1533-position model. The record is from RNAcentral.
GACGAACGCUGGCGGCGUGCCUAAUACAUGCAAGUCGAGCGGACUUGAUGAGGAGCUUGCUCCUCUGAAGGUUAGCGGCGGACGGGUGAGUAACACGUAGGCAACCUGCCUGUAAGACUGGGAUAACUACCGGAAACGGUAGCUAAUACCGGAUAAUUUAUUUCUUCGCCUGGAGAGAUAAUGAAAGACGGAGCAAUCUGUCACUUACGGAUGGGCCUGCGGCGCAUUAGCUAGUUGGUGGGGUAACGGCUCACCAAGGCGACGAUGCGUAGCCGACCUGAGAGGGUGAACGGCCACACUGGGACUGAGACACGGCCCAGACUCCUACGGGAGGCAGCAGUAGGGAAUCUUCCGCAAUGGGCGAAAGCCUGACGGAGCAACGCCGCGUGAGUGAUGAAGGUUUUCGGAUCGUAAAGCUCUGUUGCCAGGGAAGAACGUCCGGUAGAGUAACUGCUACCGGAGUGACGGUACCUGAGAAGAAAGCCCCGGCUAACUACGUGCCAGCCGCCGCCGUAACAC